CCAGACACUUCCUCCAGCUCUUCCGGGGGGACACCGAGGCGUUCCCAGGCCAGCCGGGAGACAUAGUCCCUCCAGCGUGUCCUAGGUCUUCCCCCGGGUCUCCUCCCGGUGGAAUGGGCCUGGAACACAUUCCCGGGAAGGCAUUCAGAAGGCAUCCGGAACAGAUGCCCAAGCCACCUCAGCUGACCCCUCUCGAUGUGGAGGAGCAGUGGCUCUACUCUGAGGGUGACCAAACUUUUCUCGAAACGAAUAAAGGAAUAGAAGAGCAUCACACGGUUCAUGGUUGGGACCCAUUCUCAGGGUUAUCCUCUAUGGUUGGUCCCUGGGGAAUGACAAUAUACGUUAUAAGUUAGUGACUACUGCCUUAGCCACCAUUGCCCUUUUGUUUCGCUUGUGGUAUAUUUUGUCUUGUUUAAUAAAAAUGUGUGUUUCUAAGUUUGCAACACAGGUAAUGGUCCAAAAGCAUGUAAAUGAGGGGUCAGACAUUUCAGAUAUGUUUCCAUUCACAAAUUACUUGGGAUGAUGAUAUGAUAAAAUAUCAUGUUGUUUAAGAGUGUAGUUAGUAGUAGUUUAACGAAGAGUAGUAUUAGUAGUAGUUUAAAGCUUAAUGAGUUUAUGUUAAAUGAUCUGAGAGUAGAAUUGGUUAAGUUGUAUGUUGACACUACAUUACAUUUAUGAUAUAGGGUGGAUUGUCCGGGAAAUUUCUUGAACUGAUGUGUUCUUAUUGAUUAAGAUUUUGAGUCCCCAUGUUUAGAUAAAAAAAAAUAAUGCAGAUUGUGUUGGGAGAAAGGAAGUAUGAGAUGCUGAGGUAAACGUAAACCUAUAGCAGGAUGGGGGUAGAUACAUAACAAUGGGUUUUAGGACAGGAUAGAGGAAGAUACACAACAGAAGGAAGGAUGGAUAAGGAACAUGCAUUGUUUAUGUGGUAUGACCAUGCAGAUUCUUAUCUCAACCCAUUUCUUCCGCUUCAUCCGGGGCCGGGUCGAGGGGGCAGCAGUCUAAACAGAGAUGCCCAGACUUCCCUCUCCCCAGACACUUCCUCCAGCUCUUCCGGGGGGACACCGAGGCAUUCCCAGGCCAGCCGGGAGACAUAGUCCCUCCAGCGUGUCCUAGGUCUUUGCUUGGUUCUGUGAAUGAUGAACAUGGCUUUGGACAUUGACAGGCUAUUGUAUUCUUUUUUCAACAAUAACAGGUUCUGGGCAACCUCUUCUGAGAAAGACUGG
Long non-coding RNA from Esox lucius (northern pike), 1223 nucleotides. NCBI's taxonomy places the organism in Eukaryota, Metazoa, Chordata, Actinopteri, Esociformes, Esocidae. The record is from Ensembl.